This 427-nucleotide ribosomal RNA is filed under the name Acanthamoeba genotype T3. RNAcentral's name for it is "SSU rRNA". It matches the Rfam family "Eukaryotic small subunit ribosomal RNA", at positions 736 to 1116 of the family's 1831-position model. Lineage: Eukaryota; Discosea; Longamoebia; Acanthamoebidae. The record is from RNAcentral.
UUUUGGCCCAGAUCGUUUACCCGUAAAAAAUUAGAGUGUUCAAAGCAGGCAGAUCCAAUUUUCUGCCACCGAAUACAUUAGCAUGGGAUAAUGGAAUAGGACCCUGUCCUCCUAUUUUCAGUUGGUUUGCCGCGAGGACCAGGGUAAUGAUUAAUAGGGAUAGUUGGGGGCAUUAAUAUUUAAUUGUCAGAGGUGAAAUUCUUGGAUUUAUGAAAGAUUAACUUCUGCGAAAGCAUCUGCCAAGGAUGUUUUCAUUAAUCAAGAACGAAAGUUAGGGGAUCGAAGACGAUCAGAUACCGUCGUAGUCUUAACCAUAAACGAUGCCGACCAGCGAUUAGGAGACGUUGAAUACAAAACACCACCAUGCGCAUUGCGGUCGUCUUUGGUGUCGCUCACAAGGCGGCACCGGGGCGGCUUUUCCCCACAA